This 105-nucleotide small nucleolar RNA is filed under the name Gossypium hirsutum (cotton). RNAcentral describes it as "Plant small nucleolar RNA R71". It matches the Rfam family "Plant small nucleolar RNA R71". Rfam says of the family: R71 is a member of the C/D box family of snoRNAs containing the C (UGAUGA) and D (CUGA) box motifs. Multiple nearly identical copies of this snoRNA have been identified in Arabidopsis, and it is thought to function as a 2'-O-ribose methylation guide for 18S ribosomal RNA. The record is from Rfam by way of RNAcentral. Lineage: Eukaryota; Viridiplantae; Streptophyta; Magnoliopsida; Malvales; Malvaceae.
AACCCAUGGUGAGGGCAUCUUUGCAAAAGGUCCUUGUAUCUCUCUGAUGCAUCUAGAGUGUUUCUAAAUCCAUCUGUACAAAAGAGGAGAUAUCAUUAUGUAAUU